RNAcentral lists this ribosomal RNA (492 nucleotides) under uncultured bacterium. RNAcentral describes it as "partial 16S ribosomal RNA". It matches the Rfam family "Bacterial small subunit ribosomal RNA", at positions 30 to 507 of the family's 1533-position model. The record is from RNAcentral.
AUUGAACGCUGGCGGUAUGCCUAACACAUGCGAGUCGAACGGCAGCACAGUAAGAGCUUGCUCUUACGGGUGGCGAGUGGCGGACGGGUGAGGAAUACAUCGGAAUCUACUUUUUCGUGGGGGAUAACGUAGGGAAACUUACGCUAAUACCGCAUACGACCUACGGGUGAAAGCAGGGGAUCUUCGGACCUUGCGCGAUUGAAUGAGCCGAUGUCGGAUUAGCUAGUUGGCGGGGUAAAGGCCCACCAAGGCGACGAUCCGUAGCUGGUCUGAGAGGAUGAUCAGCCACACUGGAACUGAGACACGGUCCAGACUCCUACGGGAGGCAGCAGUGGGGAAUAUUGGACAAUGGGCGCAAGCCUGAUCCAGCCAUACCGCGUGGGUGAAGAAGGCCUUCGGGUUGUAAAGCCCUUUUGUUGGGAAAGAAAAGCAGCAGGUUAAUACCCCGCUGUUCUGACGGUACCCAAAGAAUAAGCACCGGCUAACUUCGUG